GAUUAAGAAAAAAUUGCUCACAACCAUGGAGCGAGAUGAGGGGAUCAUCUGAACCAUCAUAUGUUGGAAAGUCCAACUUGGCAUGUCUCGGCGCCACGCCUCUAGUCUGUCGCAGCUCGGUUCUUUCUUCCAGCCUGGUAGUAGUACUCAGACAUGAAGAAUUGCUAUUGAUUCUAGUUCCGUUCCCUUUCCAUUGGUUCCGCCCA
This 206-nucleotide unclassified non-coding RNA is filed under the name Hevea brasiliensis (rubber tree). Lineage: Eukaryota; Viridiplantae; Streptophyta; Magnoliopsida; Malpighiales; Euphorbiaceae. The record is from RNAcentral.